GUUUUUGGUUUUUUUCUGGCCUGCAUGUAAGUCAUGAGAGCAACAUUUUCCCUAUAGACAACAUCAUCAUGUUUACAAAAGCUUAUAACAUCCCCAGUCUGACCCAGAUUAUAUUCUAAUUUUCCCAAACAUUCUCAAUAACUGUUUUCUGUGUCCGUAUGUUAUAGGCAAGUCCCAGCCAGGACCACCGUUACUUUGUACACUGAUGAUUCCAGAGACGGGACUCAGCCACUCCUGCCUCCCAAUGGCUCUGCUUCGCAGGAGAAUGGCAGCCACCAGAGGUGGCAAACAGGUAUGACCAGAUGCCACUGUUUCACAGCCCUCAGGGGAGCUGAGUCACUGACCCCAGACGGUGUUUCAACUGGGGAGGAACCACCAGGUGAGAUGUGGACGGACAGGACACUCACGUGUGCCCGUUUUCCCUGACCCUGCGUUUCCUUCUGGCAGGGGUUCCCCUCCCCUUCUGCCCAGUCUGUGUCCCAAUGGCAGCGGAUCCCACGGCAACCUCCAGCCGCCCAGCCUGUCUGGGAAGGUCAUUCUGAUUCCCUCCUGUGACCGGUGGCCCCAGGCUGCAUCUCCAGCCCGGAACAAGGGUCAUCGUGGGGCCGUGUCUGUGCCAGAAUCCCACCUGAGCCGGCUCCUUCCAUCCCAGGAGCCACCGCCGUCUUCCAGCCGAGGAGCCCCGAGAGGGCAAACUCGCCUUCGUAAAAUUACAGACCCCCACGCUGGCAGCAGACCGGACUGCAGUCGCUUGUGUGAAGUUGUCUCCCUCGUGAAAUUCUGCUUAUCAGGCGUCUCCCGAGGCCCAGCAAUUUCUAGCACCGAGAUCAGCAGCAAAUCCACCGAAACCGGCGUGUAUGGGAUGUGGCAGGUGUGGUUUCCGGUCGCUAAUCCCAAGUAAACCGACUCGAGCCCACAGAGCGGUCCAGCCUCCUCCACCUGCCGCAGGAAGGCCCCUCUGGCAGAAGCCUCCUUCUCAGCAGGCGCCUCCCAAGACGCCCCCACUUUCCACCC
This 1014-nucleotide long non-coding RNA is filed under the name Felis catus (domestic cat). RNAcentral describes it as "lncRNA (ENSFCAG00000048508.1)". Lineage: Eukaryota; Metazoa; Chordata; Mammalia; Carnivora; Felidae. The record is from RNAcentral.